This 76-nucleotide transfer RNA is filed under the name Klebsiella pneumoniae. RNAcentral describes it as "tRNA-Lys". It matches the Rfam family "tRNA". From Rfam's summary of the family: Transfer RNA (tRNA) molecules are approximately 80 nucleotides in length. Lineage: Bacteria; Pseudomonadati; Pseudomonadota; Gammaproteobacteria; Enterobacterales; Enterobacteriaceae. The record is from RNAcentral.
GGGUCGGCGGUUCAGUUGGUAGAGCAGUUGACUUUUAAUCAAUUGGUCGCAGGUUCGAAUCCUGCACGACCCACCA